Molecule: ribosomal RNA, 487 nt
Filed under: uncultured bacterium
Lineage: Bacteria
Description: bacterial SSU rRNA
Rfam family: Bacterial small subunit ribosomal RNA
Source: RNAcentral
GCGACAGGCCUAACACAUGCAAGUCAGGGGCAGCACAAGGAGCAAUCUGAGGUGGCGACCGGCGCACGGGUGAGUAACACGUAUGCAACCUGCCUGUAAGCGGGGAAUAACCCGUUGAAAGACGGACUAAUACCGCAUAAUACUAAAUUACUGCAAAUGGUAAUUUAUUUAAACAUUUAUGGCUUACAGAUGGGCAUGCGCAUGAUUAGCUAGUUGGAGAGGUAACGGCUCCCCAAGGCAACGAUCAUUAGGGGUUCUGAGAGGAAGGUCCCCCACACUGGUACUGAGACACGGACCAGACUCCUACGGGAGGCAGCAGUGAGGAAUAUUGGUCAAUGGACGAGAGUCUGAACCAGCCAAGUCGCGUGCAGGAAGAAUGUUCCCUAUGGAUUGUAAACUGCUUUUGCAGGGGAAUAAAGUGCAUCACGUGUGAUGUUUUGUAUGUACUCUGCGAAUAAGGAUCGGCUAACUCCGUGCCAGCCGCCGC